Non-coding RNA from Cherax quadricarinatus, 576 nucleotides. Lineage: Eukaryota; Metazoa; Arthropoda; Malacostraca; Decapoda; Parastacidae. The record is from RefSeq and is a predicted model, not a curated record.
UCCCGGGUUUUAGUGGGGUGGUGUGGGUUGCAUCCUGGGUGUUAGUGGACUGGUGUGGGUCACAUCCUGGGUGUUAGUGGACUGGUGUAGGUCACAUCCUGGGUGUUAGUGGAAUGGUGUGGGUCACAUCCUGGGUGUUAGUGGACUGGUGUGGGUCACAUCCUGGGUGUUAGUGCACUGAUGUGGGUCACAUCCUGGGUGUUAGUGGACUGGUGUGGGUCACAUCCUGGGUGUUAGUGGACUGGUGUAGGUCACAUUCUGGGUGUUAGUGGAAUGGUGUGGGUCACAUCCUGGGUGUUAGUGGACUGGUGUGGGUCACAUCCUGGGUGUUAGUGGACUGGUGUGGGUUGCAUCCUGGGUGUUAGUGGACUGGUGUGGGUUGCAUCCUGGGUGUUAUGGACUGGUGUAGGUCGCAUCCUGGGUGUUUGUGGACUGGUGUGGGUCGUAUCCUGGGUGUUAGUGGACUGGUGUGGGUCGCAUCCUGGGUGUUAGUGGACUGGUGUGGGUCACAUCCUGGGUGUUAGGGGACUGGUGUGGGUCACAUCCUGGGUGGACUGGUGUGGGUUGCAUCCUGGG